Long non-coding RNA from Gopherus flavomarginatus (Mexican gopher tortoise), 1678 nucleotides. RefSeq lists it as uncharacterized. The transcript has 3 exons. The record is from RefSeq and is a predicted model, not a curated record. NCBI's taxonomy places the organism in Eukaryota, Metazoa, Chordata, Testudines, Testudinidae.
CUGUGUGUGGUGCACGCACUGUACCGCUCUCAGCCCCGCUUCCCGCCCUGGAGGCCGCUGGGCCUGUCACAAAUCCAGCGGGAGCGGCUCUGCCCCGCCCACCUGCUCCUGUGCGUGGCCAGAGACGGGCGCGGCCCAUGCCCUGCUGUCCCGGCAAUAAGGAACUAGCUCCGUGUGGUGCCGGCGGCAGGCCCCAGGGAGCGAUCACCGAGGAAAGGGGAAAUUACUCCAAAUAUCCAAACUCCUCAAGCACUCUCCACAGAAAAUUCUUACUGAAGCCAAUUUGUGCUCUCAGAUAAUCCCAGCUUCUUGUGAUCAGCCUAAACCUUAAAGAUAGAGCAUCCAUAAGAAGUUGGUGGACAUUCUGACAGUGUUUUCUGAGCUACCAAAGGUGCCUGUUAGAAAAGGGGGACAACACGGACAUGAAAAAAUUGAACUGGCUGACGCUGCUUGUGACUCUUGGUGUAGCCGCUGAUGCCCUGGACCAGUACUUCUGGAGCAGGGCCACAAGCACUGACGGGGGAUUCCAUCACCAGGGAUGACCAGCAAUGAGUCCAGCACUUUCACAUGAAGAAAGCUACAUUUCUGGAGCUGCUGAGCAGCUUGCCCCAAACCUUCAGUGUCAGGACAGACAAAUGAGGGCAGCCGUUCUGGUCCAGGAACAGAUUUCUAUAACCAUGUGGAAACUGUCUAUCCCAAACUGCUACACGUCUGUUGCUAACCAUUCAAUGUUGGAAAGUCAACCAUGGGUAAAGUGGUUGCAGAGGUUUUUGAGGCAAUCAGGCAUGUGAGUUAUCCAAAGGUAGUGGGCAUAAACAAGAUCCCUGAAGUAAUUGCUAGUUUUAAGAGAAUGGGAUUUCAGAAAUGCAUAGAGGCCAUAUAUGAAAAUUAUGUGGCCAUAGUUCACCCUCCCCAAAAAGCAGAAGCACGUAAAUCACAAUGGGUACCACUCUAUUAUUAUGCAGGCCCUUGUACAUGCCAACAUGGGCUGCACUGGAAAGGCUUGUGAUGCCAGGGUUUUCCACUGAUCAGGAAUCUACAUUAAUGUUACUGGCUGGGACACUUUUCCCCCUGGAUGGCAUUGUCAUAAAUUGAGUAACCAUCCCCAUUGUUAUCCUGGGGGACUCCACAUACCCCCUUUUGCCUUGGCUUAUGAAACUAUAUCCUGAUCUCAGACAGCCUGGUAAAAAAAGGUUUAAUUACAUCUCAGCAGGUUCAGAAUGGUGAUUGAAUGUGCAGUUGGCAGACUUUAAUCUGGCUGGCGCUAUUUACAGAAACAUUUGGAUUCCAGUGUCAUCAAAGCUGUUCGAAUUAUUGUGGCUUGCUGUGCUCUACACAAUCUUUGUGAAGCCAAAGAUGAGCCAUUUGCUCCUGAAUGAACCCGUGACAGUAAGGGAUUGCUGAAUCAAUACACUCAACUAUAAAGCGUAUCUAUCACAGCUGGGGCAGGACAGAGCCAUCACAUCCAUAGAAUGGACUGGGGCAACCGCCCCGGGCCCCGCACUUUGGGGGCCCUGCACUUUGGGACGCAGGGUCCAGGGCGGCCUGGGAGGUUAGCAGGGGGCCUGGCGCCGGCAGCAGUGAGCAACUUGGCCCCAGCCUGCCCCACUGGCUCCUGGCAUCGAUCAGGGAAGGAAACCGAAGAGAGGUGGGGCAGGGGGUUGGGUGAAGGGGUGGA